Cuculus canorus (common cuckoo) is the source of this 1666-nucleotide long non-coding RNA. RefSeq lists it as uncharacterized. The transcript has 7 exons. The record is from RefSeq and is a predicted model, not a curated record. Lineage: Eukaryota; Metazoa; Chordata; Aves; Cuculiformes; Cuculidae.
UUCAUGCACCUUACACUUCUUAUAUACUUAUCCCAAUAGUGCACGCGCUAACAAAACAGAUCCUAAUUGGUUACGUCCCGUCGUUCACGCGCCUUGUGCUGUCACGCAACUGGCCAGAUGCUCUUGAGCACGCGAAAGGGGCAGAUACAAAGUUCUCAUCACAACUCUUCGGGACUUUCCCGCGCUGGAUUCCACAUUCUUGUAUUCUGCUCCCUUUUAUCUUAUCUCAAGGUCAGGCCUAGCUACAGACAGCAAACCCUGGAUUGUUCACUGCUAUUAUAUCAUGCCUUCAUUCACCAAGCCAUUCUUCCACAAUCCCUCAAGCUGCGUCUCCAAACAAUCUGCUGUUGCUCACAGGCAGAAAUUUUAGGGGCAAAUCUUGUAGUUCAGCAUAAAAGUCAAACCAUACAAGGAGAUGGUGCUUCAAUACGAAUGUAGGACCAAUGGGAUCACUCGAGUCCUUGCAUCCUGUUCCAUACAUUUGGAGUAUGUGUCCCGCUGGCAAAGAGCAAAAUAGGUGAAGGGCAAACCUGUGCAUGAGCAGCAACGAAGGAUGUGUUAAAUGCAGUUUCUCCUAAAUGGACCAUGCCCUGUGCUACAGAUAGUGACAAAAGAAAUGCUGGUUCUCCCAAAUAAUCUCCCAGCCCUUGCUCCACUUUAUCUGGUGGGUGUUUCACUGUUUCUCUCUCCCUCAGCCUCUCCUGCCAUCCGUGUUCUGGUACUACCUGCUGGAGCUCUCCUUCUACUGCUCGCUGGUCUUCACCCUGCCCUUUGAUGUGAAGAGGAAGAGUGCUCUAUAACACCUACUAUUACUCCAUGGAGAUAUUCCAGCCCUUCUUUGGAUACUACUUUGUGAAUGUUCUCCUGAUACCUCUGCAGCUGCUCCACGUCUUCUGGUCCUGCCUAAUUAUUCACAUGCUCUACAAGUUUGUCCUCCAGGGCACGAUGGACAAGGACAUGAGAAGUGGCAUAGAAGAAAGUGAUAAGGAUGAAGAAAGAGAAAAGAUAAGGGAAAAGGAGAAAAACGGGGUCACAUAUUUCAGCAACGUCACAAGCAACGAUUGUAUCCAGAGGAACGGGUCUGAGCCCCUGAAGAACAGAACUCCUCUCACUAAUUGCCACGUCAAGGAAAGAUAGCUGCUGACGUGCGUCUGAUCUGGUCUGGAACGAGUCCAGGGCACCGUCUUUAGAAACAGUUUUGUUUGUUGUGCAGCCAAUCCCCUGGCUCAGCACCCCAGAAGCAGCCCCAGCUCACCCGUCAGAGGCUGCAAACAAGGUUCCCUCCAGAGACGCCAGUGCACUCGUCCCCACAGCCCUGAUCCUAGGAGAGCAGGAGACGCCGAGCUCUCAGGAGGGACAUUUGUGUCUGGAGUAGGGGCUGCUGAGCAUCACCUGAGACCCAGGCCAGCAGCGAGGCUGGGCUGUGGAAGGGUAGAAGAGGACUGCAGUAGGCUGGGGGUGGAUCGCCAUUCCCAGGCUCGGAGGAGGUGUUCUCCCAGGGCUUUGCCUCCCUGAGAGCAUCCCUGUGUCUCCGCAGGUGGGCACCCCUCGGGCACAUCUCCAGGCUGUCCCGCAGCAGCAGGCAGUGUCCUCAGCCCUGGGCUCGCUACAGGAAAGGCGGCUGAGGUUUCCCGCACCCCAGCUCUAUGAGGAUGCAUCCGGCUGU